AUUGAACGCUGGCGGCAGGCCUAACACAUGCAAGUCGAACGAGUGGCGGACGGGUGAGUACUGCUUGGGAAUCUAGCUUAUGGAGGGGGAUAACUACGGGAAAAUGUAGCUAAUACCGCGUACCAUAGGAUGAGCCCAAGUGGGAUUAGGUAUUUGGUAAGGUAAAGGCUCACCAAGCCGACGAUCUCUAGCUGGUCUGCGAGGAUGACCAGCCACACCGGGAAUGAGACACGGCCCAGACUCCUACGUGAGGCAGCAGUGGUGAAUAUUGCGCAAUGGGGGCAACCUGACGCAGCCAUGCCGCGUGAAUGAAGAAGGCCUUCGGGUUGUAAAGUUCUGUCGGUAGCGAGGCGUUAACUACAGAAGAAGCACCGGCUAACUCCGUGCCAGCAGCCGCGGUAAUUC
This 405-nucleotide ribosomal RNA is filed under the name uncultured bacterium. Its description in RNAcentral is "partial 16S ribosomal RNA". It matches the Rfam family "Bacterial small subunit ribosomal RNA", at positions 30 to 526 of the family's 1533-position model. The record is from RNAcentral.